CAGCAGCCGCGGUAAUACGGAGGGGGCUAGCGUUGUUCGGAAUCACUGGGCGUAAAGCGCACGUAGGCGGCUUUGCAAGUCAGAGGUGAAAGCCCGGGGCUCAACCCCGGAUGUGCCUUUGAGACUGUGAGGCUUGAACGUCGGAGAGGUGAGUGGAAUUCCGAGUGUAGAGGUGAGAUUCGUAGAUAUUCGGAAGAACACCAGUGGCGAAGGCGGCUCACUGGACGACUGUUGACGCUGAGGUGCGAAAGCGUGGGGAGCAAACAGGAUUAGAGACCCGUGUAGUCCCUGUCUCUUAUAC
This 301-nucleotide ribosomal RNA is filed under the name uncultured bacterium. RNAcentral describes it as "partial 16S ribosomal RNA". It matches the Rfam family "Bacterial small subunit ribosomal RNA", at positions 509 to 807 of the family's 1533-position model. The record is from RNAcentral.